UAAGGUCGCACAUCCUCAUGGUAGUGAUACACAUCCGAAUAUACGAAGCCCACUCACGAAAGUAACCUUAUAAAUCUGACUCCACGAAAGCUAUGGCACAAACUGGGAUUAGAUACCCCACUAUGCUUAGCUAUAAACCUUAAUAGUUCUACACAUAACUAUUCGCCAGGGUACUACGAGCACCAGCUUAAAACCCAAAGGACUUGGCGGUGCUUAAGACCCAUCUAGAGGAGCCUGUCCUAUAACUGAUACUCCCCGUUAAACCUUACCCUCCCUUGUUCAAUCCGUUUAUAUACCGCCGUCGUCAGCUUACCCCUUAAGAGCCAAACAGUAAGCAAUUCCAGUACAACUCCAAACGUCAGGUCGAGGUGUAGCGUACGAGAGGGAAAGAGAUGGGCUACAUUCUCUACCACUAGCAGUCCGAAUAACGCAUUGAAACAUGCGUCUUGAAGAUGGAUUUAGAAGUAAGUAGAAAACAGAGAGUUCCACUGAAACUGGCCCUAAAGCGCGCACACACCGCCCGUCACUC
Molecule: ribosomal RNA, 529 nt
Filed under: Synbranchus marmoratus (marbled swamp eel)
Lineage: Eukaryota; Metazoa; Chordata; Actinopteri; Synbranchiformes; Synbranchidae
Description: partial small subunit ribosomal RNA
Rfam family: Bacterial small subunit ribosomal RNA
Source: RNAcentral